UGGGAUUUAUGGACUAAAUUGUAUCUUCCGACUCUCGUCCCUCGAAAGAAGUGGCAAUCGGUUCAAGGGAACCUUACUGUUGGCGACGUCGUCCUCCUGCUGGAUCCCAACCAACCGCGCGGCUCCUGGAAAAUCGGCCACGUCAAUCAAACUUAUCCGGGAGGUGAUGGACUAGUACGCGUCGUCAAGGUGAAAACAGAAGACGGCGAGUACACCCGAGCGAUUCACCGCCUAAGUCUCCUCGAGAAAGCUGCCGUAGCCGAUGUUCCUCUGGAAGAGUCUCAUUCCCCUUUAUCAAAAUAGUCCCGAUGUUUCAUUAUCUUUCUUUUCUCUCUUUGAUUUUGCUCAUCUGUUCCUUCUUUAUUCGUCUCGUCGCCGGAUGUAACAGAUUCGGGGGGAGAAUGUUGCGGCGAGAAAAGCGCCUUUCAAUUUCUCCAAUUUGGCAACGCCUAAUUUUAAGUCAAGCGCGAUUCUUUCCCCUUCCCUCCCGAGUCCUUGUGUUAAUCCGUCUGCUAGCCUUCGUACGACGUUAAGACCACGCUGGUUUCACUGUCGAAAGAGCUAGUUACUGUCACGAUUAUUAUACUUUUCUGUGUUUCGUGAAGCCAUUUAUUCAGCUUUUUCAGCUCGUUUUCUGUUCUGAGCUGUCAGUUCAAACCCUAUUCUGAGUGCUUUUGCUUGCCUAGCAUUGGCUUCAUAUCUAUAUUCCCUGUCUGUGUGCAUAUUGGUCUGGGUGACCACUCACAUUUUCUCGUGUCACCCCAGGUACAAUCCUUCCAUGUUUCUUUUCCGUUCCCCAACUAACUCUUUUUCUUUUGGUUUAGACAUCACACGUAUGUCAGUUCACUGUAUGUCAACACAGUUUGAGUCCUACACAUAUUUCAUUUUGUGUCGUGCUUGACCCAGCAUCAACUUGCGAAUAAAUUAUAGGGGCUGCUUACAACAGACCCCAGAAGAAACUCUGAAGGCUCUCACUAAAUCCAUAGCGUC
Daphnia pulicaria is the source of this 990-nucleotide long non-coding RNA. RefSeq lists it as uncharacterized. The record is from RefSeq and is a predicted model, not a curated record. NCBI's taxonomy places the organism in Eukaryota, Metazoa, Arthropoda, Branchiopoda, Diplostraca, Daphniidae. The transcript has 3 exons.